GACGAACGCUGGCGGCGUGCUUAACACAUGCAAGUCGAACGGAAAGGCCCUGCUUUUGUGGGGGGCUCGAGUGGCGAACGGGUGAGUAACACGUGAGUAACCUGCCCUUGACUUUGGGAUAACUUCAGGAAACUGGGGCUAAUACCGGAUAGGAGCUCCUGCUGCAUGGUGGGGGUUGGAAAGUUUCGGCGGUUGGGGAUGGACUCGCGGCUUAUCAGCUUGUUGGUGGGGUAGUGGCUUACCAAGGCUUUGACGGGUAGCCGGCCUGAGAGGGUGACCGGCCACAUUGGGACUGAGAUACGGCCCAGACUCCUACGGGAGGCAGCAGUGGGGAAUAUUGCACAAUGGGCGGAAGCCUGAUGCAGCAACGCCGCGUGCGGGAUGAAGGCCUUCGGGUUGUACCCCGCUUUCGCCUGUGACGAAGCGUGAGUGACGGUAAUGGGUAAAGAAGCACCGGCUAACUACGUG
RNAcentral lists this ribosomal RNA (468 nucleotides) under uncultured bacterium. RNAcentral describes it as "partial 16S ribosomal RNA". It matches the Rfam family "Bacterial small subunit ribosomal RNA", at positions 28 to 507 of the family's 1533-position model. The record is from RNAcentral.